Molecule: ribosomal RNA, 354 nt
Filed under: Staphylococcus aureus
Lineage: Bacteria; Bacillati; Bacillota; Bacilli; Caryophanales; Staphylococcaceae
Description: partial 23S ribosomal RNA
Rfam family: Bacterial large subunit ribosomal RNA
Source: RNAcentral
CUUUGGGGAGCUGUAAGUAAGCUUUGAUCCAGAGAUUUCCGAAUGGGGAAACCCAGCAUGAGUUAUGUCAUGUUAUCGAUAUGUGAAUACAUAGCAUAUCAGAAGGCACACCCGGAGAACUGAAACAUCUUAGUACCCGGAGGAAGAGAAAGAAAAUUCGAUUCCCUUAGUAGCGGCGAGCGAAACGGGAAGAGCCCAAACCAACAAGCUUGCUUGUUGGGGUUGUAGGACACUCUAUACGGAGUUACAAAGGACGACAUUAGACGAAUCAUCUGGAAAGAUGAAUCAAAGAAGGUAAUAAUCCUGUAGUCGAAAAUGUUGUCUCUCUUGAGUGGAUCCUGAGUACGACGGAGC